GAGUUUGAUCCUGGCUCAGGAUGAACGCUGGCGGCGUGUCUAACACAUGCAAGUCGAACGAAGCGUAUAGAAGGAAGUUUUCGGAUGGAAUUUUAUAUGACUUAGUGGCGGACGGGUGAGUAACGCGUGGAUAAUCUGCCUUACACAGCGGGAUAACAAGUGGAAACAGUUGCUAAUACCGCAUAAGCACACAAUAUCGCAUGAUAAAGGGUGAAAAGAUUUAUCGGUGUAAGAUGAGUCCGCGUCCCAUUAGCUAGUUGGUGAGGUAAAGGCUUACCAAGGCGACGAUGGGUAGCCGGCCUGAGAGGGUGAACGGCCACAUUGGGACUGAGACACGGCCCAGACUCCUACGGGAGGCAGCAGUGGGGGAUAUUGCACAAUGGGCGAAAGCCUGAUGCAGCGACGCCGCGUGAAGGAAGAAGUAUUUCGGUAUGUAAACUUCUAUCAGCAGGGAAGAAAAUGACGUACCUGAGAAGA
Molecule: ribosomal RNA, 477 nt
Filed under: Lachnospiraceae bacterium canine oral taxon 024
Lineage: Bacteria; Bacillati; Bacillota; Clostridia; Lachnospirales; Lachnospiraceae
Description: bacterial SSU rRNA
Rfam family: Bacterial small subunit ribosomal RNA
Source: RNAcentral